CAAGGCUGCAAAGAUCUAGCCGCUGCUGCUGGAGAACACAGGCCCACGGUCCCAAGGGAAGCACGGGAGGAGGGAGCACUCUGGGGAUAAAGCUGCCUUUGUCAGCAGGCACAGGGGACAUUGUAGGGCUGAGUCUGGAGUGAGUCUGGAGUGCAGUGAAGGAAUUUCUAAAUUGCAGAGAGUGAGCGCCUCUGUCAGUGUCGCCUGCUCAGCUCACACCCACAAUCUCUCUCACAAUGGCCUGGGUGCGGUGGGGCCAGGACAGACUCAGGCCCCACUUCCAUCUUGCUCUGGCAGAGAGGCUGAGGAGCAAUUCAGCACCCCAGGGCUAUGGGGGCUGGCCUUGCCCUUCUUGGAUCCUGAGGCCUGGGAGGGCCCCACAGCCCCCCUCCUCCACUAAGUCUAAGCUCUCUCUUGUCAUCGGCACCUGAAUCCAGUUCCCGCCUCUCCCUCUAUUUUCCGAAGAUCUGUUCUUUCUCACUCUCAGAAGGACAUCCUGCAGAAAGAGUCUCCACCCUGCCCAACACUCCAUAGUCCAGCUCACUGCAAGCCAGAAGAGACGGGGAGGAAGACGCAGGAAAGUUCCACUUCCAGAUCUUCAUAUGGCUGGCUCUUCCCUGACUCCAUCUCCUAAGUGGGAUCUUUCUUGACCACUCAACCUAAACCAGGCACUCACCGUUACCUCUCCUUAUUUUAUUUUCUUCAUAGAACUUGCCAGCAUUUGAAGCUGUCUUGUUAGUCUGCUUGGGUACUUACAUACCACCCAUCCGCCCCAUCUAGGUCCCACACAGGGACCUCAUCAGCCUGUUCACUGUGGGGUCCCCAGCACUAGAGCAUGCCUGGCCCAUAAAGGGUUGAUAAACAUUUACUGAGUGAAUCAAUGCAUAAAUGAAUGAAUAAAUGACUAAUGCCAUGUAAUGAGUUUCUACAUUUGUUUGUAGUUUUCAGUUUACAAAGAGCUCUUCCAGACAUUUCCUUAGCGUAAUUUAUGUGAUUAGGCCCAGGUUUAAAUGGAACUUAAAAAACAUAUUCACAGUAUCUCUCUUAGCUCCUAGAAGCCACAGAUUAGGAAACAGAAUGUUCUCUCCAAGGGAAGAGAGUUUAGUUCCAAGAGCAUUCAUGACCCUCCGGUUAUGACAAGAAGAAUCACUUGGUUUAAUUCAUGGCUCUAAAACAAAUAAAAAGUACUCAGAGAUAUAGAACCUUGGCUGAUUAAUAACAGCAACAACAAGCAUUUGUGCAGCACUUGCUGUGGGCCAGUGUGGAGGCUGAGGCAACUCCAUCUUGGGUGCUAAUCCCCCAUGUUGGAUUCUGAUUAACUCCAGUUCCAGGAAAGUCUCGUAAGGUUUCUAGUCUAUCUACUGUUCCUUGUAUAAGAGCAUGUACUUAUCCUACCCUUAGGUCAAAACAAUCUUGAUGUUAUUGUACUUACCAUAAAUCCUGACCUUGAGCAAUCACCCUACCCAUUCCUUCUGAAGCACUGUACCCUUCUCCUAUGAUAUAUAAACCCUGGGUCUGGGGUGUAAUUGUGGGGAUUCACCAUCUUGUCUCGCCGUCCUAGACACAGACAUGGCUUCUGGACAUAAGUCCCUAUUCAACAUUUCUUUCUAAGAAACUGGAUUUUUCAGCUUCUUUCUUUGGCCCCUCAACUUCCUCAGCCUUUGGGGGUAGGUUUGCAUAGGCCUGCUCACCAUGGAACAGCUAGACACAAGGCUAAGUACCAUCCACACAGUAUCCAGCUCCACAAUUCACUUGGAGGGUUGGUACCAUAAUGAUUUCCCCUUUUUCUUAUAAGAAAGGGAGGAAGAGACAUCACAGGGAGUAAAACAACUCAAAGCCCAAAGUACAGAGCCAGGAUGUUAACCCAGGAUUAUCUGACAACAAAAUCCAGUCAGUUCUUGUCCUUGUAACAAAAGCUGAGUAAGUAAACAUUGCCGUGCUGAGCAUCUGUAGAUUCCUACCCAUCCCCUUCAGCCCUAUCACAUGGGUGGGCUUAGAAAGGGUUAAACGCCACACUGGGAGGGAGUGGUCAGUGCCUGGGUGGUGCUAUUUUUAAGGCCAAUAUUAGGAUGGUUUGCACAGCACCACCUGGCAACAAGAAAAGGCCAGGUAUUAAUGAGUGACACACCCGGGGGAGAAGGGGGAGAAUGUUUCCACUCAGCAAGACUUUGGCAGGAACCAUGUGUUCAGUUUGGGGUCUUGCCUUUUACAAGGGUGUGGAGGCAGUUGAGUCCCUCGUCUUUUCUGGCUGUCAC
RNAcentral lists this long non-coding RNA (2255 nucleotides) under Homo sapiens (human). Its description in RNAcentral is "HSALNT0382578". The record is from RNAcentral. Lineage: Eukaryota; Metazoa; Chordata; Mammalia; Primates; Hominidae.